This 324-nucleotide small RNA is filed under the name Pan troglodytes (chimpanzee). RNAcentral's name for it is "retained intron". Lineage: Eukaryota; Metazoa; Chordata; Mammalia; Primates; Hominidae. The record is from RNAcentral.
GAAUCAAAGCCAAAACAUGUGAAAGAGUUUGACAUUCUUCUUGGUCAACAUAAUGAUGAAAUUGAAGAACUGUCAGGCAAUAUAAAGGAAGAAUCCAAAUCUCAAAACAGCAAAGACAGAGUGAUUUGUGAGUUAAGAGCAGAGGUAAGACACUGGGUAAAGAGUACCAUAUAUAUUAAAACAUAACUGUCUGUUGUUAAAUGCCAUACUAUUUUAAGUAGGGUAACGGACGUGCCUUUGGUUACUUUAUGAAAGUGAAUGCUGCUGCUAAUGUAAUCAGCUUAUAUGUGAUUUAAAAGGCUGUGGAAUGACAUUGGCCCAUAA